CUUCAGGGAGCCCAGCCACAGCGGCUUGUCCUUCGCCCGGCCCUUGCCGUACGUGGCGAGCAGGGCGCCCGCCUC
RNAcentral lists this antisense RNA (75 nucleotides) under Streptomyces sp. WM6378. RNAcentral's name for it is "ASpks sRNA". It matches the Rfam family "ASpks TB sRNA". Lineage: Bacteria; Bacillati; Actinomycetota; Actinomycetes; Kitasatosporales; Streptomycetaceae. The record is from RNAcentral.